AUUGAACGCUGGCGGCAUGCCUUACACAUGCAAGUCGAACGGCAGCGCGGACUUCGGUCUGGCGGCGAGUGGCGAACGGGUGAGUAAUACAUCGGAACGUACCCUGUUGUGGGGGAUAACUAGUCGACAGAUUAGCUAAUACCGCAUACGACCUGAGGGUGCAAGUGGGGGACCGCAAGGCCUCACGCAGCAGGAGCGGCCGAUGUCUGAUUAGCUAGUUGGUGGGGUAAAGGCCCACCAAGGCGACGAUCAGUAGCUAGUCUGAGAGGACGAUCAGCCACACUGGGACUGAGACACGGCACAGACGACUACGGGAGGCAGCAGUGGGGAAUGUUAGACAAUGGGGGCAAGCCUGAUCCAGCAAUGCCGAGUGAGUGAAGAAGGCCUUCGGGUUGUAAAGCACUUUUGUCCGGAAAGAAAUCGAGCUGGUUAAUACCUGGCGUGGAUGACGGUACCGGAAGAAUAAGCACCGGCUAACUACGUG
This 484-nucleotide ribosomal RNA is filed under the name uncultured bacterium. RNAcentral describes it as "partial 16S ribosomal RNA". It matches the Rfam family "Bacterial small subunit ribosomal RNA", at positions 29 to 507 of the family's 1533-position model. The record is from RNAcentral.